GAUGAACGCUAGCGGCAGGCUUAACACAUGCAAGUCGAGGGGCAGCAUGCGGGUUAGCAAUAACCUGUGAUGGCGACCGGCGCAAGGGUGCGUAACGCGUGAGCAACUUGCCCGUUUCAGGGGGAUAACCGGUGGAAACGCCGCCUAAUACCCCAUGGUAUCAUUUGGAGGCAUCUCCGUAUGAUUAAAGAGUUUCGGAAACGGAUAGGCUCGCGUGACAUUAGCUAGAUGGCGGGGUAACGGCCCACCAUGGCGACGAUGUCUAGGGGUUCUGAGAGGAAGGUCCCCCACACUGGAACUGAGACACGGUCCAGACUCCUACGGGAGGCAGCAGUUGAGGAAUAUUGGUCAAAUGGUCUGACGACUGAACCAGCCAUGCCGCGUGAACGGUGACGGCCCCUAUGGGUCUUAAACGUUCUUUUGCAAGGGAGCAAUAAGGGUUACGUGUAGCCCGAUGAGAGUACCUUGCGAAUAAGCAUCGGCUAAC
RNAcentral lists this ribosomal RNA (487 nucleotides) under uncultured bacterium. RNAcentral describes it as "bacterial SSU rRNA". It matches the Rfam family "Bacterial small subunit ribosomal RNA", at positions 28 to 501 of the family's 1533-position model. The record is from RNAcentral.